Molecule: ribosomal RNA, 250 nt
Filed under: uncultured bacterium
Lineage: Bacteria
Description: partial 16S ribosomal RNA
Rfam family: Bacterial small subunit ribosomal RNA
Source: RNAcentral
UACGGAAGGAUGCAAGCGUUAUCCGGAUUUAUUGGGUUAAAGGGAGCGUAGGCGGUCUUAUAAGUCAGUGGUGAAAUCCUAUCGCUUAACGAUAGACGUGCCAUUGAUACUGUAGGACUUGAGUACAGAUGCCGUUGGCGGAAUGUGUCAUGUAGCGGUGAAAUGCAUAGAUAUGACACAGAACACCGAUUGCGAAGGCAGCUGACGAAACUGUAACUGACGCUGAGGCUCGAAAGCGUGGGGAGUCAAA